AAAGGGACAAAGUGUCCGCAGGUACUCCGUCUCGAAGUGGGCGAACAGUAUCUACAGGUUUUGCUCUCCCACUACAAGGAGGCACGGAGCGGACUCGGAGAGCCUCGAGCUUGAAAGUUUAGUUGAAAAACUUAACAAGCAUAACACAGUCUUCAAAUUGCCACUUAACACCACGCACAUCGAGUAUUUUGGACACGUAUGGCCAUAACCCUCAAAUAGUACCGUUUCAGCAGUUGCAUCAUGCUUUGCAACAAUUAUAGACAAUUCUAGGGGUGGCAGACGGCCAUAAUGACUUCAACGUUUACAAGUCGGACAAACAAUGGCCAACAACCGUAAUGCAAGCCAACUGCAUCAGUAACUCCACAACCAGACACUACUAACAUUUUGUCUCAUCC
Helicoverpa zea (corn earworm) is the source of this 395-nucleotide long non-coding RNA. RefSeq lists it as uncharacterized. The record is from RefSeq and is a predicted model, not a curated record. Lineage: Eukaryota; Metazoa; Arthropoda; Insecta; Lepidoptera; Noctuidae. The transcript has 3 exons.